RNAcentral lists this ribosomal RNA (393 nucleotides) under uncultured bacterium. Its description in RNAcentral is "partial 16S ribosomal RNA". It matches the Rfam family "Bacterial small subunit ribosomal RNA", at positions 523 to 918 of the family's 1533-position model. The record is from RNAcentral.
AUACGGAGGAUGCAAGCGUUAUCCGGAUUUAUUGGGUUUAAAGGGUGCGUAGGCGGUUUGCUAAGCGGGAGGUGAAAUGCCGGCGCUCAACGUCGGAAGUGCCUCCCGAACUGGUGGACUUGAAUGACUCUGCCGUGGGAGGAAUGUGUAGUGUAGCGGUGAAAUGCUUAGAGAUUACACAGAACACCGAUUGCGAAGGCAUCUCACGAAGGGUUGAUUGACGCUGAGGCACGAAAGCGUGGGGAUCAAACAGGAUUAGAUACCCUGGUAGUCCACGCAGUAAACGAUGAUGGCUAACCGCUGGGCUUAUCAGUUCAGUGGCCAAGCGAAAGCGAUAAGCCAUCCACCUGGGGAGUACGACCGCAAGGUUGAGACUCAAAGGAAUUGACGGGG